Molecule: ribosomal RNA, 291 nt
Filed under: Enterobacter cloacae
Lineage: Bacteria; Pseudomonadati; Pseudomonadota; Gammaproteobacteria; Enterobacterales; Enterobacteriaceae
Description: partial 16S ribosomal RNA
Rfam family: Bacterial small subunit ribosomal RNA
Source: RNAcentral
AACGCGUUAAAUCGACCGCCUGGGGAGUACGGCCGCAAGGUUAAAACUCAAAUGAAUUGACGGGGGCCCGCACAAGCGGUGGAGCAUGUGGUUUAAUUCGAUGCAACGCGAAGAACCUUACCUGGUCUUGACAUCCACAGAACUUAGCAGAGAUGCUUUGGUGCCUUCGGGAACUGUGAGACAGGUGCUGCAUGGCUGUCGUCAGCUCGUGUUGUGAAAUGUUGGGUUAAGUCCCGCAACGAGCGCAACCCUUAUCCUUUGUUGCCAGCGGUCCGGCCGGGAACUCAAAGG